This 301-nucleotide ribosomal RNA is filed under the name uncultured bacterium. Its description in RNAcentral is "partial 16S ribosomal RNA". It matches the Rfam family "Bacterial small subunit ribosomal RNA", at positions 509 to 807 of the family's 1533-position model. The record is from RNAcentral.
CAGUAGCCGCGGGAAUACAGAGGGUGCGAGCGUUAAUCGGAUUUACUGGGCGUAAAGCGUGCGUAGGCGGCUUCUUAAGUCGGAUGUGAAAUCCCUGAGCUUAACUUAGGAAUUGCAUUCGAUACUGGGAAGCUAGAGUAUGGGAGAGGAUGGUAGAAUUCCUGGUGUAGCGGUGAAAUGCGUAGAGAUCUGGAGGAAUACCGAUGGCGAAGGCAGCCAUCUGGCCUAAUACUGACGCUGAGGUACGAAAGCAUGGGGAGCAAACAGGAUUAGAUACCCGUGUAGUCCCUGUCUCUUAUAC